GAUGAAGAACGUAGCGAAAUGCGAUACGUAAUGUGAAUUGCAGAAUUCAGUGAAUCAUCGAGUCUUUGAACGCACAUUGCGCCCCCUGGUAUUCCGGGGGGCAUGCCUGUCCGAGCGUCAUUGCUACCCUCAAGCCCGGCUUGUGUGUUGGGUCUCGUCCCCCUUCCCGGGGGGACGGGCCCGAAAGGCAGCGGCGGCACCGUGUCCGGUCCUCGAGCGUAUGGGGCUUUGUCACCCGCUCUGUAGGCCCGGCCGGCGCUUGCCGAUCAACCAAAACUUUUUUCCAGGUUGACCUCGGAUCAGGUAGGGAUACCCGCUGAACUUAAGCAUAUCAAAAGCGGAGGA
RNAcentral lists this unclassified non-coding RNA (345 nucleotides) under soil metagenome. RNAcentral's name for it is "partial contains 5.8S ribosomal RNA, internal transcribed spacer 2, and large subunit ribosomal RNA". The stretch from base 1 to 120 matches the Rfam family "5.8S ribosomal RNA", at positions 35 to 154 of the family's 154-position model. The record is from RNAcentral.